CUGGACCUUCGGGGCAGGGUGAGCGCCUCACGGCGCAAUUCCCGACCGGUGGUGACGCGGCGGCGGCCGCUCAGCCCACGAGCUCCCCAUCGCGGGGGCAGACCCGGUGCGAUUCCGGGGCCGACGGUAGAGUCCGGAUGGGAGAAGGUCCCA
This 153-nucleotide non-coding RNA is filed under the name Limnochorda pilosa. RNAcentral describes it as "FMN sequence". It matches the Rfam family "FMN riboswitch aptamer (RFN element)". Rfam says of the family: The RFN element is a highly conserved domain that is found frequently in the 5'-untranslated regions of prokaryotic mRNAs that encode for flavin mononucleotide (FMN) biosynthesis and transport proteins. The record is from Rfam by way of RNAcentral. Lineage: Bacteria; Bacillati; Bacillota; Limnochordia; Limnochordales; Limnochordaceae.